Molecule: long non-coding RNA, 314 nt
Organism: Notothenia coriiceps (black rockcod)
Lineage: Eukaryota; Metazoa; Chordata; Actinopteri; Perciformes; Nototheniidae
Exons: 3
Source: RefSeq, a predicted model, not a curated record
GCUGGAUGAGCUGCUGCAGAAGGAGAAGGAGUACCAGCAGGUCCUGAAGGCCACACUGCAGCAGAGAGCACACGACCUGGAGAUGGUCCGAGUCAGACACAGACCCCCAGACAUUUCACCUCCCUCCAUAUUCCACAUCCCAGCGGACCACGGGCCGGACAAGGAGCUCACUGAUUGGCUGAAAGAGAAGGGGGCAGACGCUGCCACCAUAGAUAAGUUUGUGCUGGAAGAAUAGAAACUGACUUACAUUUUCAAUGACGUUUCCAAAGAUGACCUCCACUGUCUACGUCUACGUAUCUACUGCCGUCACAACA